UUAGUGGCGAACGGGUGAGUAACACGUGGGCAAUCUGCCCUGCACUCUGGGACAAGCCCUGGAAACGGGGUCUAAUACCGGAUACUGAUCCUCGCAGGCAUCUGCGAGGUUCGAAAGCUCCGGCGGUGCAGGAUGAGCCCGCGGCCUAUCAGCUAGUUGGUGAGGUAACGGCUCACCAAGGCGACGACGGGUAGCCGGCCUGAGAGGGCGACCGGCCACACUGGGACUGAGACACGGCCCAGACUCCUACGGGAGGCAGCAGUGGGGAAUAUUGCACAAUGGGCGAAAGCCUGAUGCAGCGACGCCGCGUGAGGGAUGACGGCCUUCGGGUUGUAAACCUCUUUCAGCAGGGAAGAAGCGAAAGUGACGGUACCUGCAGAAGAAGCGCCGGCUAACUACGUGCCAGCAGCCGCGGUAAUACGUAGGGCGCAAGCGUUGUCCGGAAUUAUUGGGCGUAAAGAGCUCGUAGGCGGCUUGUCACGUCGGUUGUGAAAGCCCGGGGCUUAACCCCGGGUCUGCAGUCGAUACGGGCAGGCUAGAGUUCGGUAGGGGAGAUCGGAAUUCCUGGUGUAGCGGUGAAAUGCGCAGAUAUCAGGAGGAACACCGGUGGCGAAGGCGGAUCUCUGGGCCGAUACUGACGCUGAGGAGCGAAAGCGUGGGGAGCGAACAGGAUUAGAUACCCUGGUAGUCCACGCCGUAAACGGUGGGCACUAGGUGUGGGCAACAUUCCACGUUGUCCGUGCCGCAGCUAACGCAUUAAGUGCCCCGCCUGGGGAGUACGGCCGCAAGGCUAAAACUCAAAGGAAUUGACGGGGGGCCCGCACAAGCGGCGGAGCAUGUGGCUUAAUUCGACGCAACGCGAAGAACCUUACCAAGGCUUGACAUACACCGGAAAACCCUGGAGACAGGGUCCCCCUUGUGGUCGGUGUACAGGUGGUGCAUGGCUGUCGUCAGCUCGUGUCGUGAGAUGUUGGGUUAAGUCCCGCAACGAGCGCAACCCUUGUCCCGUGUUGCCAGCAGGCCCUUGUGGUGCUGGGGACUCACGGGAGACCGCCGGGGUCAACUCGGAGGAAGGUGGGGACGACGUCAAGUCAUCAUGCCCCUUAUGUCUUGGGCUGCACACGUGCUACAAUGGCCGGUACAAUGAGCUGCGAUACCGCGAGGUGGAGCGAAUCUCAAAAAGCCGGUCUCAGUUCGGAUUGGGGUCUGCAACUC
RNAcentral lists this ribosomal RNA (1215 nucleotides) under Streptomyces sp. RNAcentral describes it as "bacterial SSU rRNA". It matches the Rfam family "Bacterial small subunit ribosomal RNA", at positions 92 to 1313 of the family's 1533-position model. Lineage: Bacteria; Bacillati; Actinomycetota; Actinomycetes; Kitasatosporales; Streptomycetaceae. The record is from RNAcentral.